Pluteus cervinus is the source of this 71-nucleotide non-coding RNA. The record is from the annotation of a GenBank genome assembly. NCBI's taxonomy places the organism in Eukaryota, Fungi, Basidiomycota, Agaricomycetes, Agaricales, Pluteaceae.
GGAACAUUGGCGUAGUCGUUAUCGCGUCUCUCCAACGCAGAGGGUUUCCAGUUCGAUUCUGGGUUGUUCCA